Long non-coding RNA from Dreissena polymorpha, 1315 nucleotides. RefSeq lists it as uncharacterized. The record is from RefSeq and is a predicted model, not a curated record. Lineage: Eukaryota; Metazoa; Mollusca; Bivalvia; Myida; Dreissenidae. The transcript has 3 exons.
GCUGCAUAUGGUAAGUGCGGUAAACAAACAAUCCCAUUAAGAAAAAGUAUAAAUUAAAUAAUUUUACUCUGAGAAAUUUAAACGCAGAUCUUAAUCGUUUCAGUGACAACCUGUUUUAAGAUACAGCUAUGAAUUCCGUUUUCGUUUUGAUGCUGAUUGUUGGGGCUACUUUUGCUGUGCCAAGACCUGGUAGUCAUCAUACAUACGGCUACGGUUCUCACGGAUCCGGUAUAGGAAGUGGUUCGCUGUAUGGCGUAGGGUCACUCUCUGGAUCAGGGAUUGGCGGUGGAUCAACCUAUGGAAUUGGUUCACCGUAUGGAUCCGGCUUAGGCGUUGGGUCUUAUUAUGGAACAAGCUACGGAAUUGGGUCACCGUAUGGAUCCGGCUUAGGCGUUGGGUCUUCGUAUGGAACAAGCUACGGAAUUGGGUUACCGUAUGGAUCAACCUAUGGAAUUGGGUCACCGUAUGGAUCCGGCUUAGGUGGUGGUUCAGUGUACAGAUCAAGCUACGGCACUGGAUCACCGUAUGGCUCAAGCUACGGAAUUGGUUCGUCGGAUGGAUCACUGUUUGGUGGGUAUCGAUACGACCGUGACGAUGACGGCUACGGAUCUAGUUACGGCGGGAGCAAUAGAUUACCAUAUGGUAGUUAUCAAUCAGGUUACGGAUCACAGAGUAGUUACGGAACACCAUAUGGCGGCGUCUAUUCAUCCGGUUACACCAGUGGUCUUGGAUCACCAUAUAGCAGCUAUACAUCCAGUUAUGGAUCUGGCAUCGGAAGCGGAUCUCUCAACGGCGGAUCUCUCUACGGUGGAAGCAGAUACUAAUUUGCGAUUGUUAGGAGUUUGUUAAGGCGGACGUGGUCGAUGCUCUCGAUGGUUUCAGAAUAUUUGUUUAGAAAUCUAUUAAUAACCUCAGGGAUUAUGGACGUUUAUUCUGUCAACAACUGCCCAUCAUCGUACAUAUUGCCUUAUUCCUCAAAUGUUGAAGAUAAGUUUUUGGCGUUGACUUUUGUCAUUUGAAAUUACUCAAUAUGUCCAUGUAUUAAUACUUUAAUAUGUAUACAUACACAUACACUUUUUAUCGAACACAAUUAAAUCUACAUGGUCAUCAAUGACACUAGAACACCGAGAUUAAAGGCAUUUCAUGAUUAAAUUAUUUUUUUUAUAUCGUUUAUUACUGUGUCACAUAACACUUUAGAAUUUAAGUUUGUGUUUAUUGUCUGUAAAUGUUGUGUAUUUAUUAGUUAUUACUGUAUGUAUAUAUGUUGUAUUUUAUCCAAAAUAUAUUUACAUAUAAAAAAACUCAAUCAAAUGUG